RNAcentral lists this ribosomal RNA (506 nucleotides) under uncultured Alphaproteobacteria bacterium. RNAcentral describes it as "bacterial SSU rRNA". It matches the Rfam family "Bacterial small subunit ribosomal RNA", at positions 37 to 587 of the family's 1533-position model. Lineage: Bacteria; Pseudomonadati; Pseudomonadota; Alphaproteobacteria. The record is from RNAcentral.
UGGCGGCAGGCUUAACACAUGCAAGUCGAGCGGGCGUAGCAAUACGUCAGCGGCAGACGGGUGAGUAACGCGUGGGAACAUACCUUUUGGUUCGGAACAACACAGGGAAACUUGUGCUAAUACCGGAUAAGCCCUUACGGGGAAAGAUUUAUCGCCGAAAGAUUGGCCCGCGUCUGAUUAGCUAGUUGGUGAGGUAACGGCUCACCAAGGCGACGAUCAGUAGCUGGUCUGAGAGGAUGAUCAGCCACAUUGGGACUGAGACACGGCCCAAACUCCUACGGGAGGCAGCAGUGGGGAAUAUUGGACAAUGGGCGCAAGCCUGAUCCAGCCAUGCCGCGUGAGUGAUGAAGGCCCUAGGGUUGUAAAGCUCUUUUGUGCGGGAAGAUAAUGACGGUACCGCAAGAAUAAGCCCCGGCUAACUUCGUGCCAGCAGCCGCGGUAAUACGAAGGGGGCUAGCGUUGCUCGGAAUCACUGGGCGUAAAGGGUGCGUAGGCGGGUCUUUAAG